AACGAACGCUGGCGGCAUGCCUAACACAUGCAAGUCGAACGAGAUCUUCGGAUCUAGUGGCGCACGGGUGCGUAACGCGUGGGAAUCUACCCUUGGGUUCGGAAUAACAGUUAGAAAUGACUGCUAAUACCGGAUGAUGACGUAAGUCCAAAGAUUUAUCGCCCAAGGAUGAGCCCGCGUAGGAUUAGCUUGUUGGUGAGGUAAAAGCUCACCAAGGCGACGAUCCUUAGCUGGUCUGAGAGGAUGAUCAGCCACACUGGGACUGAGACACGGCCCA
RNAcentral lists this ribosomal RNA (277 nucleotides) under uncultured bacterium. RNAcentral describes it as "partial 16S ribosomal RNA". It matches the Rfam family "Bacterial small subunit ribosomal RNA", at positions 29 to 333 of the family's 1533-position model. The record is from RNAcentral.